GAUGAACGCUGGCGGCGUGCCUAAUACAAGCAAGUCGAGCGAACAGACGAGGAGCUUGCUCCUCUGACGUUAGCGGCGGACGGGUGAGUAACACGUGGAUAACCUACCUAUAAGACUGGGAUAACUUCGGGAAACCGGAGCUAAUACCGGGUAAUAUAUUGAACCGCAUGGUUCAAUAGUGAAAGACGGUUUUGCUGUCACUUAUAGAUGGAUCCGCGCCGCAUUAGCUAGUUGGUAAGGUAACGGCUUACCAAGGCAACGAUGCGUAGCCGACCUGAGAGGGUGAUCGGCCACACUGGAACUGAGACACGGUCCAGACUCCUACGGGAGGCAGCAGUAGGGAAUCUUCCGCAAUGGGCGAAAGCCUGACGGAGCAACGCCGCGUGAGUGAUGAAGGUCUUCGGAUCGUAAAACUCUGUUAUUAGGGAAGAACAAAUGUGUAAGUAACUAUGCACGUCUUGACGGUACCUAAUCAGAAAGCCACGGCUAACUACGUG
This 497-nucleotide ribosomal RNA is filed under the name uncultured bacterium. Its description in RNAcentral is "partial 16S ribosomal RNA". It matches the Rfam family "Bacterial small subunit ribosomal RNA", at positions 28 to 507 of the family's 1533-position model. The record is from RNAcentral.